Molecule: non-coding RNA, 96 nt
Filed under: Pycnococcus provasolii
Lineage: Eukaryota; Viridiplantae; Chlorophyta; Pseudoscourfieldiophyceae; Pseudoscourfieldiales; Pycnococcaceae
Source: RNAcentral
AGCAUGUACAUCUGGAGCUGCCCGCCGUCGCAGGGUGAGGACUACAUCCUGUACUGCCACCCGCAGCGGCAGAAGACGCCGAAGCCGGACAAGCUG